RNAcentral lists this long non-coding RNA (271 nucleotides) under Lathyrus oleraceus (garden pea). RNAcentral's name for it is "Pisum sativum (pea) long non-coding RNA (PSAT_LNC005341)". Lineage: Eukaryota; Viridiplantae; Streptophyta; Magnoliopsida; Fabales; Fabaceae. The record is from RNAcentral.
AAAAACAUCAUAGAUGUGGAUGAAUAGAAUUACAUUUUAUUGAUGAUAAAAUUGAAAAUGCCCAACAAUGUUCACUUCUCCCUUAGGCAUAGGAGAAGGAUUUUCUUAAAAUAAUGAAAAAACGAAUUACUUAGAGCAAUGGACAAUAAUAGGAACAUCCACAGCAACCCAAUUGUUGCAAGCCUUUACAUGCAUUACAAAAUUGGCGCAGUCUUCAUCUUCAUCACCCUCGAUCACAGCAGCUGAGUGUUGUUCAUUACCAUGGAUGAAC